GAGGUGCAAUACAGAGAGCUUAUUUUACAACCAUAUGAAAAUGUUUCUAACCAUAUGUGCUGUUCUGUUCUCUUUGGCCACAGAAGCUGUUCUUGGAGUGACACUUGAGCAAAAUUAUCUCACUAUGACAAAAGAGAAGGGGAAAACUAUACACAUCAGCUGCAAAGUGACCGGACUCAACACAAACUAUGUUCACUGGUACCUUAAGAAAGAUGGUGAAGAAACUCUCAAAAGGAUCCUAUAUGUGAAAAAGGGAAGCCCGGUUGUUCCUGAUAAGCACCCUGAAUCACAGGACUUUAAAGUGCGGAUACAGAGUGAUAAUUAUGAUCUGAAGAUAGACAUACUAAAGGAAAGUCACUCUGGGGUUUAUUACUGUGCAAGCUGGGAAACAUACCACAGUCAUAAUAAACAUUCACAGUGUGUACAGAAACCCUGA
This is a non-coding RNA of Tachysurus fulvidraco (yellow catfish), 436 nucleotides long. The record is from the annotation of a RefSeq genome assembly. Lineage: Eukaryota; Metazoa; Chordata; Actinopteri; Siluriformes; Bagridae.